This 74-nucleotide ribosomal RNA is filed under the name Caerostris darwini. The record is from RNAcentral. Lineage: Eukaryota; Metazoa; Arthropoda; Arachnida; Araneae; Araneidae.
AUCACCGAAGUCAAGCAUCAUUGGGCGCGGUCAGUACUUGGGUGGGUGACCACCUGGGAACACUGCGUGCCGUU